ACGGAAGGCAGCAGUGGGGAAUAUUGGACGAUGGGGGGAACCCUGAUCCAGCGACGCCGCGUGAGUGAAGAAGUAUUUCGGGAUGUAAAGCUCUAUAAGCAGGAAAGAUAAUGACGGUACCUGCAGAAUAAGCCCCGGCUAACUACGUGCCAGCAGCCGCGGUAAUACGUAGGGGGCAAGCGUUAUCCGGAUUUACUGGGUGUAAAGGGAGCGUAGACGGUUUUGCAAGUCUGAAGUGAAGGCCCGUGGCUUAACUGCGGGACUGCUUUGGAAACUGUCGGACUAGAGUGUCGGAGAGGUGAGUGGAAUUCCCAGUGUAGCGGUGAAAUGCGUAGAUAUUGGGAGGAACACCGGUGGCGAAGGCGGCUCACUGGACGAUUACUGACGUUGAGGCUCGAAAGCGUGGGGAGCAAACAGGAUUAGAUACCCUGGUA
RNAcentral lists this ribosomal RNA (434 nucleotides) under uncultured Lachnospiraceae bacterium. Its description in RNAcentral is "bacterial SSU rRNA". It matches the Rfam family "Bacterial small subunit ribosomal RNA", at positions 341 to 792 of the family's 1533-position model. The record is from RNAcentral. Lineage: Bacteria; Bacillati; Bacillota; Clostridia; Lachnospirales; Lachnospiraceae.